UUGUCGGUGGUUCAAUGGUAGAAUGCUCGUCUGGCACGCGGGCGGCCCGGGUUCGAUUCGCGGCCGAUACA
This 71-nucleotide transfer RNA is filed under the name Nippostrongylus brasiliensis. It matches the Rfam family "tRNA". Rfam says of the family: Transfer RNA (tRNA) molecules are approximately 80 nucleotides in length. Lineage: Eukaryota; Metazoa; Nematoda; Chromadorea; Rhabditida; Heligmosomidae. The record is from Rfam by way of RNAcentral.